UACAGAGGUCCCAAGCGUUGUUCGGAUUCAUUGGGCGUAAAGGGUGCGUAGGCGGCGCGGUAAGUCGGGUGUGAAAUCUCGGAGCUUAACUCCGAAACUGCAUUCGAUACUGCCGUGCUUGAGUACUGGAGAGGAGACUGGAAUUUACGGUGUAGCGGUGAAAUGCGUAGAUAUCCGGAGGAAGACCAGUGGCGAAGGCGGGUCUCUGGACAGUUACUGACGCUGAGGCGCGAAGGCGAGGGGAGCAAACGGG
This 253-nucleotide ribosomal RNA is filed under the name uncultured bacterium. Its description in RNAcentral is "partial 16S ribosomal RNA". It matches the Rfam family "Bacterial small subunit ribosomal RNA", at positions 524 to 776 of the family's 1533-position model. The record is from RNAcentral.